UAUGAAGAACGUGGCGAAAUGCGAUAAGUAAUGUGAAUUGCAGAAUUCAGUGAAUCAUCGAAUCUUUGAACGCACAUUGCGCCCAUUAGUAUUCUAGUGGGCAUGCCUGUUCGAGCGUCAUUAAGUCCACUUAAGCCCUGCUUAGUGUUGGGAGACUGCUCCAGCGGUGCUACCCUGUAGCUACCCUGCAGCUCCUCAAAGACAGCGGCGGAGUUGUGGUAUCCUCUGAGCUUAGUAACUUGUUCUAGCUUUCGAGUACACCACUUCCCCUGCCGUAAAACCCUUAAUUUUUAAUGGUUGACCUCGGAUCAGGUAGGAAUACCCGCUGAACUUAAGCAUAUCAAUAAGCGGAGGA
Molecule: unclassified non-coding RNA, 355 nt
Filed under: soil metagenome
Description: partial contains 5.8S ribosomal RNA, internal transcribed spacer 2, and large subunit ribosomal RNA
Rfam family: 5.8S ribosomal RNA (bases 2-120)
Source: RNAcentral